Papaver somniferum (opium poppy) is the source of this 1309-nucleotide long non-coding RNA. RefSeq lists it as uncharacterized. Lineage: Eukaryota; Viridiplantae; Streptophyta; Magnoliopsida; Ranunculales; Papaveraceae. The transcript has 7 exons. The record is from RefSeq and is a predicted model, not a curated record.
GCCAUGAAUCUUUAUUUUUUUGGCCGGUUUUGCCAUAAUCUAAGACUUUGGUACCCGACCCAACCUUAUAUCUCUCUGUCUCCUUCUUAUUCUCUGACCUAACUGCGCCUCUCUUUCUUCUUCUUUCUCUUCUUCUCUUCUCCUCGAUUAUGGGCUAAGCUUUGGCAGAUUUCCCCCGAUAUUAGUUUCUUUAUUUCAUUGAUUUGUUUUCCAAUCGUAUUAUUCAGUCGUACAAAGAGAGAAUUGUUGAGUUUCCUUCCUCUUCAGAGUUUAUAUGACUGAAUUCUACCAAACCCUAACCCCGAAUUACUCAAAUCACACACACAAUUGUACAUGUUUCAUCAUCUUCUCAACCCAUAGUUGUUCUAAUUUGGCCGUAUAACGAACCCAAAUUUCGUUUUACCUUCUGAAACCCUACUUUCAUUUUGUUUUUUCCCUAUAGAAGUAGAAGGGUUUUGAUGUUUGCAGGUGUUUAAUUGUAUUUGAUGGUGUCAUGACUCUUACAAGUUUGAUCCUUUAAUGUUGAUGAACAUUUAGGUUUAAGGUAACGGCUACACUACAAUAGCACUUCCUUUUCUCUUGUUUAUUCUGACAGUUCUGUUGGUGCUUAUGUUUCACUUGGUAUUAACAUUAUUGAUAGCUUGAUUUAUCUAUAAUGGUUGUUUAUGGAAGUGGAUGGUCUAGUGCUCAUGCAACUUUCUAUUGUGGUGUGGUGGUAUUUCUGGUACCACGGCCUGAAAAUCCUGCGGAGCUUGGUGGGAAGACAUGGCUAUGGCUCUCUUAGUGGAGCAUGAUUGCCUGAAAAUCCUGCGGAGCUUGGUGGGAAGACAUGGCUAUGGCUCUCUCAGGAAAAUGGUCCCUGAUGGAGUCAACAGAGUUACAUGAUCGAUGGUCCAGAGGCUCCCAGUUAAUCAAAUCGGUUGAAGCUGGCUCCGGUCAGAAAUGAUGUGACUUGAAUCACUUCCUGCAACAUGAAAUGAGAAGUUAAACAACUAUUGGGAAGCAAAACUAUCCCAAGCAAAUGUUCAGGAAUCUGCACCAUGGACAAGGAUACUGGGAUCCAGCAGCACCUUCUUCAAGUGUGAUAAGAUAAUGAAGAUUAUGAUUGCGUGAUAAGUAUGAUGUUAUGCAAGAUAGAUUGAGUACUUGGAGAUGUUUCAAGCGAUAACAUAAUUAAGUGGUCAAAAGCUUAUAUAACUCGAAGAGCGACCAAAUUAGAGUGGCAGGGUGACAGUAGACUGAAUUCAGUUUUAAUGUCGAUAUGUAAGGUAUGCAUCCACAGUGGGCGAGUAUAACCAAAAAUUUGGGA